RNAcentral lists this ribosomal RNA (429 nucleotides) under Bacteroidota bacterium. RNAcentral's name for it is "Bacteroidetes bacterium partial 16S ribosomal RNA". It matches the Rfam family "Bacterial small subunit ribosomal RNA", at positions 355 to 776 of the family's 1533-position model. RNAcentral also lists the same sequence under 1 other name. The record is from RNAcentral. Lineage: Bacteria; Pseudomonadati; Bacteroidota.
UAGGGAAUCUUCGGCAAUGGGGGGAACCCUGACCGAGCAACGCCGCGUGAGUGAAGAAGGUUUUCGGAUCGUAAAGCUCUGUUGUUAAGGAAGAACGAGUGUGAGAAUGGAAAGUUCAUGCUGUGACGGUACUUAACCAGAAAGGGACGGCUAACUACGUGCCAGCAGCCGCGGUAAUACGUAGGUCCCGAGCGUUGUCCGGAUUUAUUGGACGUAAAGCGAGCGCAGGCGGUUAGAAAAGUCUGAAGUGAAAGGCAGUGGCUCAACCAUUGUAGGCUUUGGAAACUGUUUAACUUGAGUGCAGAAGGGGAGAGUGGAAUUCCAUGUGUAGCGGUGAAAUGCGUAGAUAUAUGGAGGAACACCGGUGGCGAAAGCGGCUCUCUGGUCUGUAACUGACGCUGAGGCUCGAAAGCGUGGGGAGCGAACAGG